UGGUGCUAAAGAUGGCCGGCGAUGGAGGCGCUCUGAAGGAUAUUAACGAGAUAAAGUCGCAGUUCCGCACCAGGGAGGGUUUCUACAAGCUGCUCACGCUCUCGGACUCGCAGCAGCGGGCCGGGUUAGUGCGCGGUCCCGGAGCCGGAGGUGCCGCAGCCGGUGCCGCCUCGAUACCGGGGGGCGGUGGUGGUGUGGUCCCAGGACCCGGCGGCUCCUCUCCGGCUUCGGCGGGCUUCCUGCCCCCGGUGCGGGUCUCCAUGGUGAAGCUUCAGCCGGAAGACCCGAGUGAGGAAUCCGAGCGUGUGUGCUUCAAUGUCGGCCGUGAGCUUUACUUCUACACCUACACUAACAUUAAAAAGGCGGUGGAUCUUAGUAAGCCUAUAGAUAAGCGUAUAUAUAAAGGGACGCAGCCCACGUGUCAUGACUUUAAUCAGUAUUCAGCAACUGCGGACAGUGUGGCUCUCAUUGUGGGCUUCUCGGCAGGCCAAGUGCAGUACCUGGACCCCAUCAAAAAAGAGACCAGCAAGCUCUUCAAUGAAGAGAGAUUAAUAGACAAAACUAAAGUGACCUGUCUCAAAUGGCUCCCUAAAUCUGAGAACUUAUUCCUGGCCUCCCAUGCUAGUGGUCACCUCUACCUCUAUAAUGUGGAGCACCCAUGUGGCACAACAGCGCCGCAGUAUUCUCUGCUUCGGCAGGGUGAGGGAUUUGCUGUUUACGCUUGCAAAACCAAAACACCUCGUAAUCCACUUCUGAGAUGGGCAGUGGGGGAAGGCGGGCUGAAUGAAUUUGCAUUUUCACCCGAUGGUGUGCACAUAGCUUGUGUUGGCCAAGAUGGCUGCCUCCGUGUCUUUCAUUUUGAUUCAAUGGAGUUGCAUGGUGUCAUGAAGAGCUACUUUGGUGGCUUGCUCUGUGUUUCUUGGAGUCCGGAUGGGAAAUAUUUGGCUACUGGUGGAGAAGACGACUUGGUCACUGUGUGGUCAUUUGCAGAGAGUCGUGUGGUGGCACGAGGUCAUGGCCACAAGUCAUGGGUCAACGUGGUGGCUUUCGACCCCUUUACCACCAGCUUAGAAGAAGAGGAACCGAUGGAGCUUAGUGGUAGUGAGGAGGACCUCCACCAGGGCCAGGGAGCGCUAAAUUUUGGUCGCGUACGAACCAGCAGCACUUUGUCCCGUCUCUCUCGGCACAGCUCUAAAGGCGGCGGGCCAUCUGUCUCUUACCGCUUUGGAUCGGUGGGACAAGAUACCCAGUUUUGCCUCUGGGAUCUAACCGAUGAUGUCUUGUAUCCUCGACUUCCCCUUUCCCGUGCCCUCACCAACACUUUCGGCUCCAACGUGCCACCUUCCAUUAGUGCAGGAUUGAACAACACGAGUGGAAGUGGAGGUGUUGAAGGUCACCAUCACCCUUCCAACACCCACCAGACGGCAUCGUUGCCCCUUCCUCUACCUCGCUCGCUUUCAAGGUCCAAUUCCCUUCCUCAUCCUGCUGUUGCAAAUGCUUCAAAAAGCCAAGGGGGAACAGAAAGUGGAGGGACCGGAGGAAGUGGAGGAGGAAGCAGUGCUCCCUUUAGCAUUGGACGUUUUGCAACACUGUCGCUCCAAGAGCGCAAAUCGGACAAGUCUGCAACUGGAGGGGAAAAGGAGCACAAGCGUUACCACAGUCUUGGGAACAUCAGUAAGAGUAAUGACAAGAUCAAUGUAGCACCACGUAGCAACCGAUUGGAUGCCUCUAAGGUGCUGGGAACAACGUUGUGUCCACGGAUGAAUGAAGUCCCCUUGCUAGAACCUCUCGUCUGUAAGAAGAUUGCCCAUGAGAGGCUCACAGUUCUUGUCUUCAUGGACGAUUGCAUCAUCACUGCAUGCCAAGAGGGACUCAUCUGCACCUGGGCACGACCGGGCAAAAUGUAAGGUGACUCAGGUGGUUGGAUUAGGAAAAAAUCUUUGGUUGCCAAUUUUUGCAAAAAGAUGGAGCCAUUUUGGACCUCAUUUAUGCCUGAUUGCAUCAUGCCUCUUGUUUAGAUUGAUAUAAUUGUGAUAUUCAAGCUGCACAAAAUGACCAGCAUUCUUCUCAACCAUUAUCAACACAAAACGGAAACUCACCCAGUGGAACGGUGGUAUAGCCAACAGCAAAGCUUUUUCAGUUACCUGCACUGAUGCUUCCUGUUUUCAGAGGCUUGACUUCCUGAGCUUGAGGCCUGGAGUUUUUCUGGCACAGUGUUACCACUGUUCUUACCCUGUCACAUCUUCAUAACCACACAAACACAAAACGCACACAUGCAGCUUAUCUGAAGACAAACAUACAAAGACAGUGGCACCAACCAUACAAAUGUAGAUACUCUUAUCUUCCAUAUCAGCUUCCUACUAUGUUCCUUUGAUGGAAAGGAGACUAAGACAUUCCUUCCAUCACCCUCUUACCAAGAGGAGGGAGAAAAAAAAAAAACACUACAGAUGCCACGGCCAUUGUACCUUAUUUAUUUAUUUUAUCAUUGAAACUGUAGUAAUUUAUAUUGUACAUAUUCAGAAUACUCUAUAAAGGCAGAGGAUUAAAUGUAUUGAAAUAAACUCAAAUAAUUAAUAUAUGAAAGUCCUAUAUUGUACAUAGUCACAGUUGCGUUUGAAUGUUUGUGAAACGUAGGGGAUUUAAAGAUUUAGCGUUUCUGUAUGCUAGUGCUCCCUAUGCUGUUGAGGCCAACCAUUGGGAUUUGAUGAAGUAGCUGCAUUCCGUUUAGCCUGAACCGAGAUUUCGCCUUUUUCCUCAGACAGCUAGGGUUUCCUAACUCUUAACGAACACAAUCCGAAGUAGUUCCACAUUCAACAUGGUCAGCACACCAAACUAAAAAUGCUACUAGCUUAAAUUUGGUAAAGAACUGAAGCAAAAAUGAGGCACUUUUACAAGCUUUCUUGAAGCUGCUAACUCCAAUGUUUUUCAAUGCUGGUGGGCAAAAAUCAACAUUUUAUCCCUUCAAGUGAAUUAAACUAAGUUUUGUUAAACAUUUGCCUUGUUGAACACAAGGUAAUUCGCUAGCUAAUGAAGCUAGCUAAACCUAAGAAAAAAUACUUGUCACUGUAGUUCAGUAACAUAUUUAACUAUUGUAGCAUCUAGUAGGCAGAAUUUUUCUUACCUGCUAUGCCUCUUGCAAUAUUUUGCACAGAUAACAGUUUGAGUUUUAGCCAAUGAGACAAGCACAGAUGGUUUUCCAGAAGGUUGAAUGGCUUGAGCUAGUGAACUGGAAAACAUACGAACAUGUUUCUUUCCAACAUUUCAUAAUAAUUUGAGGAAUGUGGCGCUAGCUUACUGUCUAGCUGAUUUUAGAUUAGUGUGACCGACUGUAGUGGUUUUCCUGUCAUCAUUCUUAUAAAAGGACCGCCCCCUCCUCCCCUCGAGGAACCCCAAGCUUGAGUAUUGAGAACUAACCGUCUUGAUCAUGCUUGUAAUGUUUUUGGUUUGUAAACGUAAGGUUUAGGUAGGCUAUUAAUGUUUAAGGUGUUGAAUAAGCUGUGUUCAUUUAAAAAGGCUUUACUUAAUACUUUUUAUUUUAACGCAUGGCAGAAACAAACUAGCCAGCUAUUUCAUCUUAGCAUAACUGCAUUCAAUACCAUAGCUUAGCGAGGUAGCAGACCAGCUCUGUCGGAAGGACCACCACAGUCACUGGAACAGCUGUUGCUCUAGUGAUUUACAAAACUAAGAUUUCCAACAAUAUUGUAGAGAUAAACACUUAGCUUGGCCAGUAAGUUCAUCUACGUUUGGAUGGGAUUUAACACACCAUCAACUUCCCCUUUAUGGCCUGUAUGCCACCUAAUACAACUUUAUCAAGUCCCUGUUUUCACUUUGCAUGGGUCAAUAUUGAGCGUACAGCGGGAAUCCAAUGAUUAAACAGAAAUGUGCUUGGCACUGACAGCAAGAGUAAUAUGGCUGAAAUGGUUUGCUUGUAGUUUUAUGCACUUGGUAUAUCCUUCAGCAUGCUAACAAAGUGAAGUAAUCAAGCUCCAUUUGUCCACCAUUUUUUGACUGAACUCCAUUAGCAGACCUGCCAACACUGAUGUAUUUUGUGUAGGCGCUCUGUAUUUUAACACAGAAGGAUCACUCAAAAAUAUGGCAAAAGCGCAGUCGCCUCUUCCCUCCUCAGUAGAAACGCCAGAUGAUUCAAUCAAUAUAUGAAAUGAUUGUCGGUUGCAUAGGUGUUUUAACUGACACACCUGAAAGCCCCGCUCCUUCCCCUAUUCUCCAAUUAGUAGUACUUUUGGCUGACGGUCUCUUCUUGACUCAAAUUUCCCACUGGAAAGAAGCAGCACCUUUGUUCAUUUAUGAGCUCGAUCGAUGCAUGUUUGAUUGAGCUAACAUUAGACACGUAACGAAAUUUUGGUGACUGGAAAAAAGCCUUAAAAUUUUGGCCAAGGACAAUAUUGCAACUGUGGAACCAUUUCAUGAUUUCAACAAGGGAUGUUAUGGUGAAGCCUAAAGGUUAGAGAAAGGGCUUUGGGACCAAAAGGUUGCUGGUUUGAUUCCCUAGACCAGCAGGAAUGGCUGAAGUGCCCUUGAGCAAGGCACCUAACCCCCAACUGGAUGCUCUGGGUACGUUGUACAUCACUCUGAAUAAAAGUGUCUGCUAAAUGCCUGUAAAGUAAUGCAACAUUAGUGAAAACAAAAUGAUGCCCAGCUCUCCAUCCAUGAAUUCUGUAGACUGCAUGUUAUUCCACUUCAGGUUGGCAGGUCUGCAUCAGAAACGGUAUCUUCUCUCAUCACAUAGUUUCGUUGAUUUUACGCCAACUUGGUUCCUUGUUUAGCAAACUUCGCUCAGGCUAACCGUAACCAAGUGGUCCUUGAGCUGACAGCAGAAAUUCAACAAUGAGAACUGGGAAGGGGGGUGUUGCCUAUAUAGGGGGCUAUAUUCACUCGGAGCCCUUUUUUUUUUUUUUAAUUUAAGCUAUGGUAAGCUACUGAAGCAAUCGAUAUGCUUUUUAUCUGGAUGUUAUCAUUCCUACCUGCUGUGAAAAGAUGAGUUCUGUGAUUUUCAAAUGUGACCAGUGUUUUUAAUUACAUGCUUCUUAAUUGUUUUUGUGGCCUUUUGAAGCUUUUUAUUUUUUAAAUGUCUUUCUUAAUAUUUGUCAUACUACACCAAAAGUAUCUUUCUUGGCAGGAUGCAUUGAUUGAUUUUGUUCCGUAUGUUUUCAUUCUGAUGUUUAUGUAUAAACUUGAGUACAAUUUUAGCAGCCAAUCACAAACUUGAUAAUGUAACAUCACCUCACUACGGCUAUUUCUUUUGGAUUGCUUCAGUUGGUCCGACUGCUUAGCAUAAAAUUUUGGUUUAACUUGCUCAGUGUAAUCGUUCAGUAAGUUAAGCCUCACUCACAACCCGCUGUACAGGCGGUCUACGAUAAAUUUGGCAAAACCGUGCUUGAGACUUGCGCGACAGUUGCGCGUGUUCAGCGCCGUAGAAGGUCGCAGACUGCCCGUGGAGACUUUUGGUCCUGCACAUGCAAAUUCUACAGGUCUUGCGACAAAUCAAGAACGCAUACAUUAUGUACGGGGCCCGUACUCCUUUUGUACGCCUGAACCAAGUCAGCAGCGUGGCUAAUAGGGGCUUUUUGCGAUGACAGUAAGGCGCAUGAGUGACGCACGGUCAUUGUAUGAGUGACGUGCCUCAGAAAUACUACACAAGUAUUCCACACUUGCUAUUUGUGCGGCACGCAAGACAGAAGUGCAUCUCACUUUCUACCCCUAUGUGUGGUGCGCACGCGACCUGCACACGCAAUCCGCACGUGACACGAGGGGCAAGACUCGGCAUACAAUAUACACUUGUGUUCAAAAUAAUAGCAGUCCAACACGACUAACCAGAUCAAUCACUGUUUUUGGUGGAAAUUAUAUUACUACAUGGCAAAUAAUUUACCAGUAGGUGUAGUAGAGUCAUAGAAAACCAGCAGACCCAACAUUCAUGAUACGCAUGCUCCUGAGUCUGUGUAAUCGAAUAAUUAAGUGAAAGGGGCGUGUUCAAAAUAAUAGCAGUGUGGAGUUUAAUUAGUGAGGUCAUUCAUUCUGUGAAAAAACAGAUGUCAGUCAGGUGGCCCUAAUUUAAGGAUGAAGCCAGCACAUGUUGUACAUCCAUUUCUCUCUGAAAACCUGAGAAACAUGGGUCGUUCCAGACAUUGUUCAGAAGAACAGCGUGCUUUGAUUAAAACGUUGAUUGGAGAGGUAAAACGUAUACUGUAAAGAAGUGCAGAAAAUGAUGGGCUGCUCAGCUAAAAUGAUCUCCAGUGCUUUAAAAUGGACAGCAAAGCCAGAGAGACGUGGAAGAAAACAGAAGACUACCAUUCGAAUGGAUCGAAGAAUAGCCAGAAUGGCAAAGACUCAGCCAAUGAUCAGCUCCAGGGUGAUCAAAGACGGUCUGAAGUUACCUGUGAGUACUGUGACAAUUAGAAGACACCUGUGUGAAGCUAAUCUAUCGGCAAGAAGCUCCCGCAAAGUUCCACUGUUAAAAAAAAGACGUGCUGAAGAGGAUACAAUUUGCCAAAGAACACAUCGACUGGCCUAAAGAGAAAUGGAAAAACAUUUUGUGGACUGAUGAAAGUAAAAUUGUUCUUUUUGGGUCCAAGAGCCACAGACAGUUUUUCAGACGACCCCCAAACACUGAAUUCAAGCCACAGUAUACUCUGAAGACAGUCACUACGUUUACAUGCACAUAGAGAGAAUCGAAUUUCUGCCCUUGCUCGACUGAAAUCAAAGUUCAAAAUGCCAUGUAUACACCUUAAUUCGGCUGAAAUUGAACCGUACUUGAUUUCUUGGAAUCGAGCUACACGACCUAGUUUAUGCGAUUUCUGCCGAGCUACUUUGUGCAUGUAUACCCUAUCGAGCUAGUUGUCGAGCUACUUCCGGAAGUGACGAGACCACAAGCGGGAAACACAACAGCCUCGGUCGGCAUGACGACAGUAGUAGCGAGCAGCAGAAGAGGUCAGGAGGAACAAACGAAGAAGAGAAAAUGGCGAUGUAGAGCUCUCUGAAGUGUGGGUGGAGCACAGAGGACGGCAGGACAAAGCUUCUGGUACUAAUAUAGGAUUUUUAUUGUCAGACUUUUCAGUUUAACAGCCUACUUUUAUUCUUGAGAGAAAAACACACACACGCGCGCGUGCGUGUUGUGUUCUAGUCCCGGGAUGAGCUGUCCCCUCUGCUCUCCCUCUGCCUCCUUAAAUAGGGCGCGGUUACUGGGAAGACACACAAACACAGGUUAAUUACCGUCAGGUGAAGUGAUUCUGCCACUCACCUUCCCUGGCUCCGCCCUCCUGUCACAGACCGGCGCUUGACCACGCCCCCACUGCCACAGGCAAGCAGAAACGUGCACUUCUGGAGCAAUGAGGAGACAGAGUUCAUGCUCAUUCAGCUUAAGGAGUUGAAUAUAUUAAAAUUCAUGGACGGGAGAACAACGCGCAAUGGAGAACAUGGAACUGAUAACUUUGUUUACACUCUUGAAUAGCUCUUCUUCCUGACGACAACCGGAAGUGUACCAACACGAUGGGGCGUGUAGCGCCACCUGUGGCUCGGGUGCACAAUGCACCUCACAUAAUAGCCCGAUUUCAUUGUGUGCAUGUAGGAUUGGAUUUCUCUGGCACCCCUGCUGGGACCUUCAGCUCGAUUACCGACAGCAGCUCGAUUUGGAUGUGCAUGUAAACGUAGUCAGUGAAGCAUGGUGGUGCGAGGAUCAUGAUAUGGGGAUGUUUCUCUUACUGUGGUGUUGGGCCCAUUUAUCGCAUACCAGGGAUCAUGGAUCAGUUUGCAUAUAUCAAAAUACUUGAGGAGGUCAUGUUGCCUUAUGCUGAAGAGGAAAUGCCUUUGAAAUGGGUGUUUCAACAAGACAACGACCCCAAACACACCAGUAAGUGAGCAGCAUCAGGGUUCAAGACCAACAAAAUGAAAGUUAUGGAGUGGCCAGCCCAAUCCCCGGACCUUAAUCCGAUAGAAAACUUGUGGGGUGACAUCAAAAAUGCUGUUUCUGAGGCAAAACCAAGAAAUGCAGAGGAAUUGUGGAAUGUUGUCAAAUCAUCCCGGGCUGGAAUACCUGUUCACAGGUGCCAGAAGUUCUUAGAAACCGUGGUUAUACAACUAAACAUUAGUUUAGUGAUUCACAGGAAUACUAAAUCCUUAAGAUUUUUUCAGUUUAUACAGUAAAUAUUUGGAGUUUGUAAUGAAAAAUGCAGACACUGCUAUUUUUUUUGAACAGCCCAAUGUUCAUUUUUCUUCAUUUUCUGUAAAGUAAUUAAAACAUUGAUACAUUUUUCUUCAUGUUUUGAUGUAGAAUAUAAUGUGCAGUGUUCCCAAUGCAUUAAAAUAAAAACUAUUAUAAGGAUUAUUUUGAACACAACUGUAUAUAUUGGGGAGGAACCAAGGAACCGAUCAUGUAGCGUGUAGCAUUGUAGAAAGGAAGAAGACCACCUCAUUUGCUGUUUUUAUUUGAGUAUAUGUUAAUUUACCAUACAAACGUCAAAUAAUAAAACAUGAGUAUAAGGGAAUAAUGCAUUUUAUUACAUUUGUAAAAAAUCCCAACUAAAUAGCCCAACAGUUUGAGCACUGAAACACACUUUGACUCCGAGCUGCUGUCCUGCUCCUGCUGAGUAUCGGCAUGGGGUGUCAGGAUGUCCUUAUCCUUAUCCCUGAGCAUGGCAUAAGGGCCUGAAAGCGAUGAUGGGAUUGCGAUGUCCUCACUUCUGGGCGUCGUUAGCUGAAACACAUAAAAAUCAGCGUAUAUAAUAUUAAUGACAUAAGCAUAUAGAUACUGAAAUGAAUGUUUAAAGCGUGUGUAUUUACCUGUGAAAAUCCCUCUGGCGGGGUGCUGUGCCUUCUGCCGGCUUGAAGGCAAACUUCUCCCUGUCCGUGCAGGGCUCGCCGGUGCUGCUACCAUCCUCAUCAAAUUCUUCCUCCUCCUCUGCUGUUUCAGGCUGGGUUAUUUCACUUUUGCUCGCUUCUUCUUGGGUCCCAUUUUCUAAACUUUAAACUGAAAUUUUUUAAAAUUUUUCCCACAAAAUAUCCAAUGUUCUUCAGUUGAAAGACCGAUGCAGAAUGCUGCAGACAUGCUGGUUUUAUACCCACUCCUGGCUUGCGUCACACGCAAGUUAUGAGUGAUUGUAACGUGCUGAUCACAUGCAUCACACACACUUCACAAGUGCGGCCCGAACUCGUAGCGCAGGAAACUAGUAAAAUGCAAGUCUCACAUACACUCACUGACCACACACUGAUCACGUUUGUCAGACAUACACUUUCCACGGGCUAACGGCGCAAUUUUUUCCCAUACUCUGAGGAAGUCAGGUGUGCAACCUGUACUUGACAAGUACUUUGCCCGUACUCCUCCCCCAAACUUUACCCCGGGUUCACCGUGACCCUGCGGCAUGCCUGCAAGCUACCAAACCCUGCGACCUGUGCGUCUCAAACACUUGGGGCGGGUUGUGAGUGAGGCUUUAGCUAGCCACUCAAAUCCAGCACCGUUGUAAUGAAGCUACUGUAGCUAGGUACUGUGCAUAUCCACACUAGCUAGUGUUAGGCUAGCUGUUUUACUGUGCUAUUAAAAUGAUUUAGCCAGGAUUUCUAGCUAGCUUACUAUCAACAGGAUAAAGCUUUUUAUAUUGUAUAAUUAAAACCAGUAUUUUAUGUUGAGCAGCAAGUUACGAGGAAGUAAGUGGUGAUGUCGCAUGAAGUUUGGACUACGAUUCUCGCUCAUGUAUUCUUAGUAUUUCAACCACAACAAUGCCUCAAUGCCUCUGUACACUGAAAAACUCUUGCAGGAGAUGGCCCAUUCUUUAACGUCGCUUAUCAUUCAACGCGACUUCCAUAAGCAUGUGAAUUUUUUUUUUUUUAAAUUUCCGAGUAUGUGUGCAUUUAACAUGGUUACACAGUAAUGCCUGAGAUUAACAAAAUGGCAAUCAACAUCACAAUAUCAAGUUUGUAUAUGGAGAUCUGUUAUUAAAACUCUUAAA
Molecule: RNA transcript, 9956 nt
Organism: Neoarius graeffei (lesser salmon catfish)
Lineage: Eukaryota; Metazoa; Chordata; Actinopteri; Siluriformes; Ariidae
Gene name: WD repeat-containing protein 20
Exons: 6
Source: RefSeq, a predicted model, not a curated record